GCCUGCGCAGCUGAGUGAUGAUGGGCGGGCGGCGGGACCCGGUCCGCUGGCUGCCGCUGUGGGCUCUUGGGCAUGGUGGGUCAGCCUGAGAUUGGCCCGGCUCGGAUCCCGAGCUGGAGCCGAAGGCACUGAGCGGCAGGCAGGGCAACUGGACUGAAUUUGGCUGAUUGAGAAGCUGGCAGGGGCAGAAAGAAUGAGAGCAACAAAUACUUUGAUGUUAUCGCCUUGGCAAGAGUGUCCUUGCUGGCUUCCGUAGAGCUGACCAGCUUUGCGCCUCUCCAGGCCAUUCGUUCAACCACAGGAGCCAUGCGGGGCCAGCGGAGUCUGCUCUUGGGCCCAGCCCGCCUCUGCCUGCGUCUCCUUCUGCUCCUGGGUUAUAGGCGUCGCUGUCCACCUCUGCUCCGGGGCCUGGUACAGCGCUGGCGUUACGGAAAGGUUUGCCUGCGCUCCCUGGUCUACAACUCCUUCGGAGGCAGUGACACUGCUAUUGAUGCGGCCUUUGAGCCUAUCUACUGGCUGGUGGACAGUGUAAUCCGCUGGUUUGGAGUGGUGUUUGUGGUGCUGGUGAUCGUGCUGACUGGAUCCAUUGUGGCCAUUGCUUAUCUGUGUGUCCUGCCCCUCAUCCUUCGGACCUACUCAGUACCACGACUCUGCUGGCAUUUCUUCUAUAGCCACUGGAAUCUGAUCCUCAUCGUCUUCCAUUACUACCAGGCCAUCACCACUCCUCCUGGAUACCCACCCCAGGGCAGGAACGACAUUGCUACCGUCUCCAUCUGUAAGAAGUGCAUUUACCCCAAACCAGCCCGAACACACCACUGCAGCAUCUGUAAUAGGUGUGUGCUGAAGAUGGAUCAUCACUGCCCCUGGCUAAACAACUGUGUGGGCCACUAUAACCAUCGCUACUUCUUCUCUUUCUGCUUUUUCAUGACUCUGGGUUGUGUCUACUGUAGCUAUGGAAGUUGGGACCUUUUCCGAGAGGCUUACGCUGCCAUUGAGAAAAUGAAACAGCUUGACAAGAACAAACUACAGGCAAUUGCCAACCAGACUUACCACCAGACUCCACCACCCACCUUCUCCUUUCGAGAAAGAAUAACUCACAAGAGUCUUGUCUACCUCUGGUUCCUGUGCAGUUCUGUGGCACUGGCUCUGGGUGCCCUAACCAUAUGGCAUGCUGUUCUCAUCAGUCGGGGUGAGACUAGCAUUGAAAGGCAUAUCAACAAGAAGGAGAGACGUCGGUUACAGGCCAAGGGCAGAGUAUUUAGGAAUCCUUACAACUAUGGCUGCUUGGACAACUGGAAGGUGUUCCUAGGUGUGGACACAGGAAGGUAAAGACAGACAGCAGUGCUACGUAACAGCUUUGUGAUGGGGAAGAUGGUCCAUACCCAGAAGCAGAGAUUGUAAUUGGGGUGAAGGCACUGGCUGACCCGGGUGCUGUUACCUUCUAGUCACCUACCCCAUGGGAAUGGAAUGACCUGGGACCCUCCUCCCUGGGUGACUGCUCACUCAGCCUCUGUGAUGGCUGUGUGAGUAACAACUUGAACAUUAUUCGAUGCUUGUUAUGUCUCUUUCAAGAACUUCCAAGGGCAGCUUUUUUUGGAAUCCAUGACCAUAAAGAGCCACUAGGCCUGCCUUAGAGUACUACUUAGGGACAACUCAAGAGCAAUCUUCUGGCCAUCUCAAAACAAGAUACAGUUGGGUGACGGCAGCACAUGACUUUGAUCCUAGCACCCGGGAGGCAGAAGCAGGUGGAUUUCUGAGUUCCAGGCCAGCCUGGUCUACAGAGCAAGUUCCAGGACAGCCAACGCUACACAGAAAAACCCUGUCUUGAUAAACCAAAAAAAAAAAAAAAAAAAAGUGGAGAAAUCUUACGACUGAUGUCCCUUACUCAGGCAAACAAAUUUUAGCCCCAGACCAGGGGUCAGACAACUAGCUACCUUAUCCGAUGCUGACUUUGAUGUCCUCUAGGUCACAGCACUGGGGCUAGCCACCAUCUCUCACUUUGGGAAAAGAUUUUGUCAGGUAUGUUGAAAUUCUGGCUUCUGAAUGGGACAAAAACAAUAAGCCUAUUGCCAAGGUCACUGCCAUUUCUCACGUGCUGCAGAAGGAGCAGAAAUAAAGGCAUUUGAUUUGUAAAGAUGAA
RNA transcript from Alexandromys fortis (reed vole), 2140 nucleotides. It is a transcript of the gene named zinc finger DHHC-type palmitoyltransferase 16, with no coding region annotated. The record is from RefSeq and is a predicted model, not a curated record. The transcript is spliced from 12 exons. Lineage: Eukaryota; Metazoa; Chordata; Mammalia; Rodentia; Cricetidae.